UACAGAGGUCCCAAGCGUUGUUCGGAUUCAUUGGGCGUAAAGGGUGCGUAGGCGGCGCGGUAAGUCGGGUGUGAAAUUUCGGAGCUUAACUCCGAAACUGCAUUCGAUACUGCGGUGCUCGAGGACUGGAGAGGAGACUGGAAUUCAUGGUGUAGCAGUGAAAUGCGUAGAGAUCAUGAGGAAGACCAGUGGCGAAGGCGGGUCUCUGGACAGUUCCUGACACUGAGGCACGAAGGCCAGGGGAGCAAACGGG
This 253-nucleotide ribosomal RNA is filed under the name uncultured bacterium. RNAcentral's name for it is "partial 16S ribosomal RNA". It matches the Rfam family "Bacterial small subunit ribosomal RNA", at positions 524 to 776 of the family's 1533-position model. The record is from RNAcentral.